GACGAACGCUGGCGGCGUGCCUAAUACAUGCAAGUCGAACGAACCGCGACUAGGUGCUUGCACUUGGUCAAGGUGAGUGGCGAACGGGUGAGUAACACGUGGGUAACCUACCUCAUAGUGGGGGAUAACAGUCGGAAACGACUGCUAAUACCGCAUAGGACAUAGGAUCACAUGAUCCAGUGAGGAAAGGUGGCGCAAGCUAUCGCUAAGAGAUGGACCCGCGGUGCAUUAGCUAGUUGGUAGGGUAAAGGCCUACCAAGGCGAUGAUGCAUAGCCGACCUGAGAGGGUGAUCGGCCACAUUGGGACUGAGACAAGGCCCAAACUCCUACGGGAGGCAGCAGUAGGGAAUCUUCCGCAAUGGACGCAAGUCUGACGGAGCAACGCCGCGUGAGUGAAGAAGGUCUUCGGAUCGUAAAGCUCUGUUGUUAGAGAAGAACAGCGCAUAGAGUAACUGUUAUGCGUGUGACGGUAUCUAACCAGAAAGCCACGGCUAACUACGUG
RNAcentral lists this ribosomal RNA (502 nucleotides) under uncultured bacterium. RNAcentral's name for it is "partial 16S ribosomal RNA". It matches the Rfam family "Bacterial small subunit ribosomal RNA", at positions 28 to 507 of the family's 1533-position model. The record is from RNAcentral.